CAUUCUUUUCCCUCAUUUGUACCCACGUGUCCGUUUGCUUCUAAGCGAUGUCGACACGUUAAUCUGAUUCCAACAGUUCUCCACCCUCCAUUUUUUGGUGGGGAAUGUGCUCGAAGGCUCUUCCAUUUUCUUCCGUUGCUUUUCCCUUUCUCUUCCUCUCUGUUUCUGUGCUUUUCUCCCUGCGUAAAUCCUUCGUGUUUCCCUGCUUCUCUCCACCUCCUCCUCCGCCCAAGAACCACUGUUCAAUCUGGUUUCUCUGGCUUUUUCCGAUGGCGGCCAAGAUUUUGUCAUGGAGGAGAUGAAUGAUGGAGGUGAAUCGGAUCUUGAAUACGAUUUCUACCGCGAGACUUGCCCAGCAAUUGAGACCAUUGUGAGGUCGACGAUGGUGCAGAUUUAUUCCCACCAGAAGAAUGUCUCUGCUCAGCUGCUGCGCCUCUUCUUCCGUGACUGCUUCAUUCAGAAGAAAAACGUUGCUAAUGAUUUACCUGUGAUGAUGCAACGUUGAUAUGCUUUUGUGUCAAUUUGGCUUCAGUUAUUUGUAAAGAAACGUUGCUAAUGGUGUACCUGUGACGAUGCUACGUUGAUAUGCUUCUGUGUUAAUUUGGCUUCAGUUAUUUGUUUCUGCUGCUGAUCAGUUGCCAUCACACUAUAAACUUGGUUGCAUGGCAAGUUGGAAAUGCACAAAAGUUUGAUAACGUCCUAUAGAAUUGCCAGAGAAGGUCAUCUCCAUUUUGUGCAAAAUCAGCCUUCUUUCUGCACACAAAAACACUAGGUAAACACACUUAAUCCUUAUUUUGUUCAUGAUAUAAUUCUACUGUAUAAAUUUAUUUCAAUUUUUUUUUCCCUUGCCUGGGAUGCUUCAAGACCAACAUAGUAGAGGACAACUUUUAGUGUUGCAGUAAACAACAUUUCCCAUUAAUGUUUUUGGACAGGAAGCAAUUUGUGUUUUUUCGUAUCCAAAGAACUUUGUAAUAUUUUUAAUAGACGAAAUUGGUUUCUCUUUGGAUAUUUAAAUUUGUUUCAUUCAUGAUGAGUUUGUG
This is a long non-coding RNA of Malus domestica (apple), 1040 nucleotides long. RefSeq lists it as uncharacterized. The record is from RefSeq and is a predicted model, not a curated record. Lineage: Eukaryota; Viridiplantae; Streptophyta; Magnoliopsida; Rosales; Rosaceae.